This 456-nucleotide ribosomal RNA is filed under the name uncultured bacterium. RNAcentral describes it as "bacterial SSU rRNA". It matches the Rfam family "Bacterial small subunit ribosomal RNA", at positions 340 to 786 of the family's 1533-position model. The record is from RNAcentral.
UACGGAAGGCAGCAGUGGGGAAUAUUGCACAAUGGGCGCAAGCCUGAUGCAGCCAUGCCGCGUGUAUGAAAAAGGCCUUCGGGUUGUAAAGUACUUUCAGUCGUGAGGAAGGUGUUAAGGUUAAUAACCUUAGCAAUUGACGUUAGCGACAGAAGAAGCACCGGCUAACUCCGUGCCAGCAGCCGCGGUAAUACGGAGGGUGCGAGCGUUAAUCGGAAUUACUGGGCGUAAAGGGCACGCAGGCGGUUAAUUAAGUUGGAUGUGAAAUCCCCGGGCUUAACCUGGGAAUGGCAUUCAAGACUGGUUAGCUAGAGUCUUGUAGAGGGAGGUAGAAUUCCAUGUGUAGCGGUGAAAUGCGUAGAGAUGUGGAGGAAUACCGGUGGCGAAGGCGGCCCCUGGGACAAAGACUGACGCUCAUGUGCGAAAGCGUGGGGAGCGAAACAGGGAUUAGAUACC